UAACGCGUGGGAAUCUGCCCUGGAGUGGGGGAUAACCGAGGGAAACCUCGGCUAAUACCGCAUACGCCCUUCGGGAGAAAGAUUUAUCGCCCGAGGAGGGGCCCGCGUCGGAUUAGCUAGUUGGUGAGGUAACGGCUCACCAAGGCGAUGAUCCGUAGGUGGUCUGAGAGGAUGAUCACCCCCACUGGGACUGAGCCACGGCCCAGACUCCUCCGGGAGGCACCAGUGGGGAAUAUUGGACAAUGGGGGCAACCCUGAUCCACCAAUGCCGCGUGAGUGAUGAAGGCCUUAGGGUUGU
RNAcentral lists this ribosomal RNA (298 nucleotides) under uncultured Sphingomonadaceae bacterium. RNAcentral describes it as "partial 16S ribosomal RNA". It matches the Rfam family "Bacterial small subunit ribosomal RNA", at positions 111 to 426 of the family's 1533-position model. Lineage: Bacteria; Pseudomonadati; Pseudomonadota; Alphaproteobacteria; Sphingomonadales; Sphingomonadaceae. The record is from RNAcentral.